Molecule: RNA transcript, 5807 nt
Organism: Chelonus insularis
Lineage: Eukaryota; Metazoa; Arthropoda; Insecta; Hymenoptera; Braconidae
Gene: Utx
Gene name: Utx histone demethylase
Exons: 9
Source: RefSeq, a predicted model, not a curated record
UGUGACGUCACGAUUCACAGAGUUACUGUAGUGUCGUAAAUAAACAUGGGUAAUAAUGAGAGUACGUAUACAUAUAUGUACGCAUUGAUACAUGUUUAUGUGUUUAUUAUUUUCGUGUGACGUCAUUUAAAGUAUCUUGAUGCACCCGCGCGAGAACGCAAGUAAUAAGAGACCGAGACCAAAAAAAAAAAAAGGAAUAAACUAGUAAGCCUGUGUGUAUUACUCUACGAGUUGAAUGACCUAACGUUCAGAGUUCAAUACACUGCAGCGUCGUCAUGCCACUUACACUACACGGCAACUACACAUUGUAUAUAUUUGCACUUCCUCAGGUAUUUGUCUGAGAUUUUCGCUUCAACAAAAUCAUCUUAUCAUUUUAUUUUGAUGUAUUUAUAUAUAUAUACAUUCAGUGUUAACGGUUUUUCCAUUUAAACUCCAAAAAGAAGAAAAAAAAAAAAAGAGGUUAAAUAUAACCAAAAAAAAUUUUUUUAAACAUUUCAUGAUUAAAUUCCAAAGUCUCUGAUUAAUUAAAUAAGAUAAUUAUCACGCAUUAAAAGAUACUGAAUAAUCGAUACUAAAUAGAAUAAAAUAUUUACAUAUUCAACUGUGUGAUGAUGUGUAGUGUAUGUAAGUACAGUUUAGUAUUAACCUUGAAUCAAAUGGAUUUUUUAUAUUAAAAUACAAGUCUAGAUAGCGAUAAUAAUAUAUUCGUAGAACGAAUAAUUAAUAAUUUAAAAAGACAAUGAAUACAACAAAACUUUUUAGCACAAUAAUAGUGCUUAUUGGACAGUGGUUUACGUCUACUUGCACUUCUAGUCGAUUGGCGUUGAUGUAACAAAACAGUACAAGAUGGUAAACAGUGGUCGUGACUAUUGAAUGUGUUGGAGGGCUGAAGGGAAAUUAAUGGUAGGCGACUAGAAAUAGGGCCAUUGCGCAUGCGCUUUUUCACAUGUUUUAUAUAUAUGUAUAUAUACCUAUACUUAUAUCUAUAGAGAAUUUUCUAUCCAUACUAGUAUACUUUACCCCUACUUUGUUCUCUUACUUAGUCGCACCCGGUUUAUUCUCCCAGCUCCACCCCUCCAACCUCACUCACUUCCCUCAAGUUAGAGUCAGUCGCGCGAGAACCUUUAGUGGGUGAGGUGCCGCGCUCUCUCACUGCCAUUUAUUUAUAGAAUAUACAUGAAAACCUACAUACAUUUAUACAAAUAUGUAUUCAUAUGUAUAUAUUCAUCUAUAAAAUAAAGAAAAAAUUUAAAUAUCAAUAUUUAUAAAUAUGUGAGAUAUUUUAAAUAAUAUUUAUACGUGAAUUUAUUUUUAAAUUCUAAAAAUCCCUUUGAAACUUGAUAAAUUAAUGAAAUAAUAAUCAAUUUAAGUGAAUUGCUAAAUAUUGAUACAAGUUUUGAAGUAUUUAAUUAUCAGAGACAAAAGAAAGGUAUCAAGCUUGGUGUUGUUAUUGAAAAAGUAUUUAAAGAUAAAUUAGUGUUAAUAAUCAUUUUUAUAUGAUCAAUUUGUAUUGUUUGGAUUUAUUUGUCAUUUAAUAAACUUGAUAUUAUGAUAAUUAGUAUUAUAAAUACUCAAAAGAAGUGAUGAAGUUUUGAAAAUAGUGUUUUUGUUCUGAUUCAAUUGGAAAUAACAAAAAAAUAAUAAUAAUAAUAAUAGCAAAUACUGCAGUGAAGUGUAAUUUAUUGUGAUUAACCCAUAUGUUGAUAUACAACGUGAUUACAUAUUGAUAACAACGUAAUCUGUGUAAACAAAAUCAAGUGAUUCGUUAAAAGAGUCAUUUAAACAUAUUCGAAAGUAUUUACUCAGUCGUAACUUAAUUUGAUAGUUGAAUGAAGAACUACUAAGAUAUUUAAAUGGGCUGUGAAAGCAUUUCAGCAGGUGUUAUGGGUAGAUCCAAGUUUUCCUCGUGCAUGCGAGGUACACCUUCGCCUCGGUCUUAUGCUCAAGGUUUUGUCUGACUUUGAUGCUGCUCUCAAACACCUGACGCUUGCAUUUAUCGAUGCUAGCACACCAGCAUUAUUUUCCAAACUUGAAAUUAAAUUUCAUAUUGCUCAUUUAUAUGAAGUUCAAGGAAAAUAUCGUCUUGCUAAAGAGCAUUACGAGACACUCCUCAAAGAAAAAUCCUUACCAUCUCAUUUAAAAGCAGACAUCUGUCGGCAAUUAGGAUGGAUGUAUCAUGUAGUUGACUGUUCAAUUCUAAAUGUUACUCGACCACAAAAACAAGCAUUUGCAAUACAUUGUCUUCAAAAGUCAAUUGAAGCAGAACCAAAGAGUGGUCAAAGUCUUUAUUUAUUGGGUCGUUGUUUAGCAGCUUCUGGAAAAGUACAUGAUGCUUUUAUUGCUUAUAGGAACUCUGUUGAAAAAUCUGAAGGUAAUGCGGACACUUGGUGCAGUAUAGGUGUCCUUUAUCAACAGCAAAACCAACCUAUGGAUGCACUUCAAGCGUAUAUAUGUGCAGUUCAAUUAGAUAAAUCACAUUCUGCUGCAUGGACUAAUUUAGGGAUUUUAUACGAAAGUGUUAGUCAACCUAAAGACGCUCUUGUUUGUUAUGUAAACGCUUCUAGAGGUAAUAAUAAUACAUCAAACUCAUCGAGUUAUUCAAUGAACUUGGGUGGCGUAAAAUCUGGUGGAAACGUUUCGAUGAAUCCAUCUCUUCAACAACGAAUUCAUUUUCUUCAAAGCCAUCUAAGUCAAGCACCAAUGCCUUCUAUUGCUGCCAAGAGACGACAAUUACCGUCAAUUGAAGAAGCAUGGAAUUUACCAAUAAGUGCCGAAAUGUCUAGUAGACAACAACAACCUGCAGUACAAGCAGGUUAUAAGUACACAACUACACCACCGGGACCUCCACCUCCAUAUCCUCAAAAUCAAGCUGCGACUAAUAUUACCACAAAAAGAUUUAAAGCUGGAGAAGAACCGGUAUCUCCUGGUGCGCAGUCCCAAUCUCAACAACAACCACAACAAAAACAACAGUCGCAACAACAAACUCCAACACAGCAACAACAAUCACAACAGCCACCACAAGCGCAACAACAGCAACAAUCUCAACAAUCACCAGCAUUACAACCCCAACGUACACCACCCUUUUAUCUUACAUCUCAACAAUUACAAAUGUUACAACUUUUGCAACAAAAUAGCAAUAAUUUAACGUCACAGCAACAAGGUAUUUUACAACAAUUACAAUUACAAUAUCGAUUAAUGCAACAACAUCAACAACAAUUAAGAAUUCAGCAACAACAAGCUGCUCAACGUGGUUUAAGACCAGGACAGCCAGGUUAUCCACCUGGUUUAACAAAUUUAAGAGAAGGACAAUCAGCAACUCAACAAACAGGAGCUGUAAUAAAAAAUUAUGGAAUAGAUCAACAACAACCACAAGGUGGUACUGUGGCAUUACAAACUGGAUUUUCUGAUACAAAUAUUACUUAUAAUACUGUUGCUACUGGUAAUACUCAACAAAGUCCUGGUAUGCCAUACAAAUCAGCUGCCGAUUCAAGUUAUGCUCAACAAAAUGUUAGUCAAUACAAUCAUUAUCAAUCAAAUCAAUAUACAAUGCAAGGAUAUACUCAAAUGAAUCCUACAACAGGAAAUUAUCCUGAAAACACUGUUAGUAAUAAUAAAGAUAUUGGUGUUACAGAUCAAGAACUUCAAGCUUUAUUAUCUCAAAAAGAUAUAGCUACUUCAUUGGCAGAAGAUUUAUUAAAACAUUUUGGUUCUGAAGAUUUGGAAGUAAAAGAUGAAACACCAUCAGCGAUAAAUAAUGGAACAUUAAGUUCAGGACCAUUUUCACCAUCGAAUAUUGAAAAUAACGAAAGAAUAAAAGAAGUUAAGGUUGAACGAGUUGAUAUGUCAGAGUAUGAUAAUAUUUAUAAAUCAGAAAAAGUUCAUUCAGACACGUUAAAAAUAAAUACGAAAAAUAUUAUCAAGUGUGAAACAACAUCUUCAAAUAUUUAUCAAACUGAUUGUCAUCGUAGUGAACCAGUAUUGAAAUUGGAAAGUUUACGUGAAUCAUCGACAGAGGUUGAAUUUUCAAUUGAUAUGGAUGCUAAAAGUGUUGUUGAAGCAUGUAAAGGUCAUGGCUUAAAAAGUGUACCAAAUUGCUCAAUAUUAUCAGAUCGAUCACCACCACCUGUACCCCCAGAUCCACCAAAUCAAAAGUUAACCAAGGAACAACUUUUACCUCCAACACCAAGUGUAUACUUGGAGAAUAAAAAAGAUGCAUUUAGUCCUCAACUUCAAGAAUUUUGUCUCAAACAUCCAAUUGCUGUGAUUCGAGGUCUUGCAGCAGCAUUAAAACUUGAUCUUGGUUUGUUCUCUACAAAAACAUUAGUUGAAGCAAAUCCUGAUCAUGGGAUUGAGGUGAGAACGCAAAUGCAACAAACAAGUGAUGAAAAUUGGGAUCCAGUGUUGUCGAGGAAGGUUUGGGGAUGUAUAAGUCAUCGAAGUCAUACUACUAUAGCUAAAUAUGCUCAAUAUCAAGCAUCUAGUUUUCAAGAUAGUCUCAAAGAAGAACGUGAAAAGACACAGGGUAUUCAUACUGCUAAUUUAUCAGAUUCUGAUUCUAAAGAUAGUACGGGUGUUGUAAAAAGAAAAAAGAAUGCUUAUGGAUUACCAGGGCGUCCAGGUUCUAAAAUGUUACGAUUUGGUACAAAUGUCGAUCUUUCUGAUGAAAGAAAAUGGAAAUCUCAACUCAAAGAACUUAUGAAAUUACCUGCCUUUGCUAGAGUUGUGUCUGCUGGUAACAUGCUAAGUCAUGUUGGGCAUGUUAUUCUUGGUAUGAAUACAGUUCAAUUAUACAUGAAAGUGCCUGGAAGUAGAACUCCUGGUCAUCAGGAAAAUAAUAACUUUUGUUCUAUAAAUAUUAAUAUUGGUCCUGGUGAUUGUGAAUGGUUCGCAGUACCCGAUGCUUAUUGGGGAGUAAUUUGUAGUUUAUGUGAACGUAAUAAUAUUAAUUAUUUACAUGGAAGUUGGUGGCCAUCACUUGAAGAUUUGUAUGAGGAAAAUAUUCCUGUAUACAGGUUUCUUCAACGACCUGGUGAUCUUGUAUGGGUUAAUGCUGGUUGUGUUCAUUGGGUACAAGCUGUUGGUUGGUGUAACAAUAUUGCUUGGAAUGUUGGACCGUUAACUGCACGUCAAUAUCAACUGGCUAUUGAAAGAUAUGAAUGGAAUAAAUUACAAUCAUUCAAAUCUAUUGUUCCUAUGGUUCAUCUAUCAUGGAAUUUAGCUAGGAAUAUUAAAGUUUCGGAUCCACGUUUAUUUGAGCUUAUUAAAAAUUGUUUACUCCGAACAAUGCGACACUGUUGUUUAAUAUUAGAAUUUGUUAAAAAUAAAGGCGUAGAAGUGAGAUUUCAUGGCAGAGGAAAAAAUGAAGCUUCUCAUUAUUGUGGACAAUGUGAGAUUGAAGUAUUUAAUAUUCUCUUUAUAAGAGAACAAGAAAAACGUCAUGUAGUCCAUUGUAUGGAUUGCGCUCGGAAACAAUCACCAUCACUCGAAGGCUUUGUAUGUCUGGAAGAAUAUCGUAUGCGGGAUCUUAUGGACGUUUAUGAUGGUUUUACACUUCAUACACCUGCAAUUACAACUGCAAUUUUAUCACAAUCCAAUUUAACAUCCUGAGAAUCCUAUAUGCAUCAUAAAUAUUUAAAUUUUUUGAUGACUUUAUCAUCAGUUAAUCAAGUCAACACAUGAAAGAAUUUUUAAUAAUAAUAAAAAAAAAAGUGACAAAAAAAGACAACAAGCCUCGUCCAUGUACCUGAGUUACUUUGAAAUAAAAACAGAAAAAAGGAAAAAAAUAAAGAAAAAAAAAUAUUUAUAGA